GCAGCGGUUGUUCAGUGGUAGAAUGCUCACCUUCCGUGUAGGAGACCCAGGUUUGAUUCCUGGCCAGUGCA
This 71-nucleotide transfer RNA is filed under the name Loxodonta africana (African savanna elephant). It matches the Rfam family "tRNA". From Rfam's summary of the family: Transfer RNA (tRNA) molecules are approximately 80 nucleotides in length. Their secondary structure includes four short double-helical elements and three loops (D, anti-codon, and T loops). The record is from Rfam by way of RNAcentral. Lineage: Eukaryota; Metazoa; Chordata; Mammalia; Proboscidea; Elephantidae.